This 230-nucleotide long non-coding RNA is filed under the name Elaeis guineensis (African oil palm). RNAcentral's name for it is "long non-coding RNA (EGUI_LNC050726)". Lineage: Eukaryota; Viridiplantae; Streptophyta; Magnoliopsida; Arecales; Arecaceae. The record is from RNAcentral.
CUAAUCAUCAAAUCAACCUACUCUAGGAUCUAUGACAUGAUAUGUUACAUAGAAAAUCUGAAAUAAUCACAUGAUAAAAUCUGCAUGCAUGGAUGUAAGCCGUAGAUCAAAUCUACACCUAUCUGAGUUCAGAACUCGAUACCUGAGUGCAGAUCGAUGAUCGUUGCUAUUGAUAGAUAUAGUGAAGAUGAUCUUUGCUGGUUGCUUGAAGUCACACAUAUGUCCGGCCU